This 1264-nucleotide long non-coding RNA is filed under the name Monodelphis domestica (gray short-tailed opossum). RNAcentral describes it as "lncRNA (ENSMODG00000045829.1)". Lineage: Eukaryota; Metazoa; Chordata; Mammalia; Didelphimorphia; Didelphidae. The record is from RNAcentral.
CCCCUUUCACAGCCACCUACCUCACGAGUCCACAAUGGGGCCUCCAACAAGGGACUGAGAACAAGGGUCAUAGCUUUCCUUCUGGGCCGAUAGUCUCAGCUCAGUGCAUUUGCCACCCCCUAACCUGUUCCCAGCUUAUCUUAGGAUGAUCAGAAUCUCUCCUGCCAGGCUUUCUGCACAAGGUCACCUACAUGUUCCAGUGGUUGCUCCUAGCCUUGUGUACCCCCUGCCCAGGAAUGGAAAAAAAAAUAUUUUAAAGAGCCAGUCUUACCUGUUUUCCAUCUUCCACCACUGAGGACAGAACAGGAAAAUCAAAGAAUCACCCAUCAGAGCUGUGAUAGUCAAGGACCACCCCAUACCUGAGCAAGAACUCCCUUUAUGACAUAUUUGACAAGUGAGCUUUCAGGCUCCAGUGAAGUCUCCCCCUCUGGGCCAGCACAUUCCACUUGGUGAUAAGUUGUCAUUGUUAGAAUGAUGCUCCCUUACACGGAGUCUAAAUUUGUCUCUCUGUCACUUGUCAGUCAGUUGACAAGCAUUUAUAAAGCAAUUACUAGGACCUGUGCUAAGUGCCAGGAAUACAAAGAAAGACAGAAACAUGGGCCUUCACCUGGAGGAGUUUAUGCUAUGAUGGGAGAGAUCUACAACAGCUCCAGAUUCUCUUUUUUUCUCCACACACUGGGAAGGCAAGAAAAAGAAAAUCCAUUAUAAUAUGUAUCCUCAUGCAAUGAAUUCCUCCAUUGGCCAGGUCCAAAAAGGAAGAAAAAAAAAAAGAAAAAGUAAGAGGAGGAAAUAUGCUUUGAUCUGCAUUCUGAGUCCAUUGUUUUUUUAUCUGCAGAUGGAUAUAUAACAUGUUUUGUCAUAAGUCCUUAGAAAUUCUCAUUAAUUAUUGUGUUGAUCAGCAUUACUAAGUCUUUUAAAGUUGAUUUUAUUUACAAUAUUGCUGUUAACAUGUAAAUUGUUCUCCUAAUUCUGCUUAUUUCACUUUGCAUCAGUUCAUAAAAGUCUUCCCCAGUUUUUCUGAAACCAACCCCUUCACCAUUACUUACAGCAAAAUGAUAUUCCAUCACAUUAAUAUACUGUGGCUUGUUCAAUCAUUCAGAAUUGAAGGACAUCCCCUCAGUUUGCAAUUCUUUAAAUAGUCCAGUUUAAAAUAGGGAAAAACAUAUUGACCUGAGCUUUUGACUAAGCCUGGUCAUCUUUUAUACUGUGUGAAGAGUGAAUCAAACUCUCUUUGUCUAUCAAUCAGCAACUUUUAAGUUAAUCA